RNAcentral lists this long non-coding RNA (1873 nucleotides) under Suricata suricatta (meerkat). RNAcentral describes it as "lncRNA (ENSSSUG00005011063.1)". The record is from RNAcentral. Lineage: Eukaryota; Metazoa; Chordata; Mammalia; Carnivora; Herpestidae.
CAGGUUUCUGCUGAUCUUGCAGCGCCCAGAAAUGGACCGAGUGGACCCGCCGCCGCACGCACUCUGCCCCACUCGGAGCUCCUAACGGCUCCACGCGCGCCGAGGAGCCUCAGCGAGGUCCACGCUGGGGUGCGGGAAGCGGAGGGGAUCCGAGAGCCAUGUAGAUCCAGGCUCUUGCUCGCGCUUCUCCUUCGGGAUCGAAUCAAGGGCUCCCAUAGUGUUAGGAGGGGGCGAGAGUGCUGUUUAUCGUCAUUUGCUUCCGAGCCUCGGGAGAGGGUGGCAUUUUGCUUUUCCUCCCCGCAUCCUCCGGAACUCCCUGCACCAGCGAGAGGACUGCGUCCUUAGGUUGCUGGCAACCGGUGAGAAUGGGGGUAGGGAACGGACACUUCCGCCGUAGUGGCUCACUCAAUCGACUGUCCCACUGAAGGGGCGUAGGACGAGGGGGCGAGAGCGGCGACUUUGCCAAGCGCCUCUCGGAUGCUGCCACGGCGCCGGCCGCCGCUCCCGCCCGGGUACUGCAAAGGCGACCUGCCGCAUUCCGACUCGGGCUCUCCGCCGACUCAGCACCGCCCCUGCGCCAAGCCGGCCGGCCAGAUACAUUUUGGAGCUCCCUGUCUUCAUGCUGUUUGGCAUCCAGAGAUCAUUCACCCAAUGGAGUCCUUAAAUUUCAUAGUGUCUGGAAGCAGGUUUGCUCUUGCUGCUCCUUCCUUGUUUGCCCCUUAAAGACUUCCUCUAUUAUCCAAUAGUCAGAACCUUCUGCAGCUCUUGGCUUUUAUUAAGUUGAGGGCAACCUGACACCCUCGUUCCCAGGAGGGUGAUAAUAGCAACACCUCCAGUUUGUUUAGCACUUUGCAGUUUUCAGAUCACUUCCAUGUUAAUUAUAUUGUUUUGUUCUGCUUGGGGAAUUAGGUAGGGCUGAUAUCACUAUCCUUGUCUUAUAGGCCAAAGGACCUGCCCAAGGUCGCUGGGUGGAGGGGGCACUCUGGGUUUAUUGAUGAUUCCAUAGUCCAGUGCUGGCACAUGAUAGGGACUCUGAGUGUUUAUUGAGUUGCUGGAAUGCUGGAAUGUGUAAUGUCACAUGUUAAAGAGAAACUAAUGGACUUUUCUUAGGGGUUUAGUCUCUUUGAGUCUUCAAACUGGUCAUUUCUAAAAUGGAAAUUUCCAUUUUAGGGUUAUGUGGAUUAAAUGGAUAACAUAGGUUAACAUGGUUGACAUGUUUGGUAAAUGCUAAAGUGUCCUAUAACAUGUUAUAUGUGAUAUAUAACAUAUGAGUUAUAUGUUUUCAUAUAUUGUAUGUGAGAUAGGAAUAGUUAUGUUAUUAUUAACUAUAAUGAGGAACAGAGGAGCAAGGGGAGAGGGCUGCCAGAUGAUUUCUCCUCAGAGGGGGAACUGUUCUUUAAAGGAAGACUCCAGGGGGAUCAGAUGCUUAAUUCAAAAAAUUAUGGUAUUAUGGUAGAGUCUGAAGACUUGGGGGGCAGAGUUAUUUUCAGUAGGGAUCAUCAGGACAUCCUGCAUAUAACAGCAGCCAUGCUGCAGCCCCACAGAGCACUGAGCCACUAUUUCUGGUUCUGCUCCUCCCCUGCCAUGUCACAUAUACUAUUUUACAUCUUCAGACCCCAAAUAUCAAGGGCAAACUCUGCUCUGUUACAAGUGAAGGAGCCAUAAGGUGUCUCUAAUUUGCAUCCCCUCUCAUUGCCUCAUUUCCCUCAUGUACUGAAUAAUAUUGUGCAAUUUAAUCUUUCUUUCCCCUGUGAACAUUGAGAAAUAAAGCAAGAUAUUGUUUGCAAAGUUUUCUCAUAUGCUUGUCUGAGAGAUAUUAUAUAAAUAUAAAAAAUAUUCUUAACUUCCCUUUCUAAAAAUAAAAUAACCUUCA